GUGAGGAAUAUUGGACAAUGGAGGAAACUCUGAUCCAGCCAUGCCGCGUGAGUGAUGAAGGCCUUCGGGUUGUAAAGCUCUUUCGGGUGUGAAAAUGAUGAUGGUAACACCAGAAGAAGCCCCGGCUAACUCCGUGCCAGCAGCCGCGGUAAUACGGAGGGGGCGAGCGUUGUUCGGAAUCACUGGGCGUAAAGCGUGCGUAGGCGGUUAUACAAGUCAGGAGUGAAAUCCCAGGGCUCAACCUUGGAAUUGCUUUUGAGACUGUAUGACUAGAGAUCUAGAGAGGUUGGGGGAAUUCCGAGUGUAGAGGUGAAAUUCGCAGAUAUUCGGAGGAACACCAGUGGCGUAGGCGCCCAACUGGCUAGAUACUGACGCUGAGGCACGAAAGCGUGGGGAGCAAACAGGAUUAGAUACCCCGGUAGUCC
RNAcentral lists this ribosomal RNA (425 nucleotides) under uncultured bacterium. RNAcentral describes it as "partial 16S ribosomal RNA". It matches the Rfam family "Bacterial small subunit ribosomal RNA", at positions 354 to 796 of the family's 1533-position model. The record is from RNAcentral.